Molecule: long non-coding RNA, 972 nt
Filed under: Homo sapiens (human)
Lineage: Eukaryota; Metazoa; Chordata; Mammalia; Primates; Hominidae
Description: HSALNT0346265
Source: RNAcentral
AUUCCAGGCUGUGGAUCCGGUCGUGGGAAGCAGUCUUUCAUCAUCCAUUCACUAACUGGAGGACAACAUCUGAAUUUAUUAGUGAGCAUACAAAGGCUUUUCAUCCGCUGAACCCAGCGCAUCUGCUACCAUUUCCCUGGUCUCCGGUCAGAACUAGUGACUGUCCCAUAAACAGGUUCUGCUGGACUUCCAGUCAAGAUGGAGCGGGCCGCACACAUACAGAGCUGAACUUGUAUCGCCGUGUAGAUGAAGACAAACACCUUUAGGAGAUGGCAGAGAAACAAAAUGGGAAACCCUCAGGUCUCCAAAUGACUACACCAAGCAGAAUUGCCCCACCAGCCUGCACCAUUCAUUUCUAGACUAUGAGCAAGAAGUACACUUCCAUCUUAUUUAAACAACCAUAUUUGGGGUUUUUGUUGUUGUUAUUGUUGUUGUUAUAGGAGCUUAGCUUUUACUCUAAGAAAUACAGCUACUCAACUCACUUCAUUAGGAUCUUAACUAUAAUAUCAAAACCUCCUAAGCACAGAAUAAAAAAUACAGUAGAGCAAUAUCAUUUAUGAUCAUAGAUGCAGAGCUUCCAAAUGAAAUACUAGCAUAUUCAAGGAAAGAUAUAUAUACCAUGACCUAGUUGUGUUUAAUUUCUGGAAUUCAAAAAUGGAAUGUUUGACAUAAGAAAAUCUAUUAGGCCGGGCGCGGUGGCUCACGCCUGUAAUCCCAGCACUUUGGGAGGCCGAGGCAGGCAGAUCACGAGGUCAGGAGAUCGAGAUCAUCCUGGCUAAUACGGUGAAACCCCGUUUCUACUAAAAAAUACAAAAAAAAAAUAUUAGCUGGGAGUGGUGGCGGGCGCCUGUAGUCCCAGCUACUUGGGAGGCUGAGGCAGGAGAAUGGCGUGAACCCGGGAGGCAGAGCUUACAGUGAGCUGAGAUCGUGCCACUGCACUCCAGCCUGGGUGACAGAGCGAGACUCUGUCUC